This 164-nucleotide ribosomal RNA is filed under the name Diaphanosoma cf. amurensis YBE01. Its description in RNAcentral is "partial 16S ribosomal RNA". Lineage: Eukaryota; Metazoa; Arthropoda; Branchiopoda; Diplostraca; Sididae. The record is from RNAcentral.
UAUAGAGCUUAAAUAUUCAAUUAGACAAGUAUAGUAGGUGAUAUCUUAACUAAUUGUAUAUUUUUGUUGGGGCGACAAAGAGAUAAAGAUAACACUCUUUUUUAAAAAAUAUUUAUAAAUAAAAUAAUGAUCCUUAAAUUAAGAUAAAAGACUAAGUUACCUUA